This 365-nucleotide ribosomal RNA is filed under the name uncultured Lachnospiraceae bacterium. RNAcentral describes it as "bacterial SSU rRNA". It matches the Rfam family "Bacterial small subunit ribosomal RNA", at positions 355 to 735 of the family's 1533-position model. Lineage: Bacteria; Bacillati; Bacillota; Clostridia; Lachnospirales; Lachnospiraceae. The record is from RNAcentral.
UGGGGAAUAUUGCACAAUGGGGGGAAACCCUGAUGCAGCGACGCCGCGUGAGCGAAGAAGUAUUUCGGUAUGUAAAGCUCUAUCAGCAGGGAAGAAAAUGACGGUACCUGACUAAGAAGCCCCGGCUAACUACGUGCCAGCAGCCGCGGUAAUACGUAGGGGGCAAGCGUUAUCCGGAUUUACUGGGUGUAAAGGGAGCGUAGACGGCUGCUGCAAGUCUGGAGUGAAAACCCGGGGCUCAACCCCGGGACUGCUUUGGAAACUGCAGAGCUUGAGUACCGGAGGGGUAAGCGGAAUUCCUAGUGUAGCGGUGAAAUGCGUAGAUAUUAGGAGGAACACCAGUGGCGAAGGCGGCUUACUGGACG